AUAAUUUUCCUUCAGAAUGGAAGGUUAGAAAAAGUAAGAAUCGAGAAACAGGAGCUGUUAGUGACUUGGUGUCUGAGACACAAGUUUGAGAAUGGCCACAUCUGUAAAUGGGAAGACUUCUUGCUUUGAAACUUUAAUUUCCAUAAGCAACAAGCAGAGUUGCUGUUCACAAAGCAAUUACCAUGGCUUCAAACUGCAGAUCUGGAAAACUGUUUCAAAAUGUUAAAUAGAUUUCUGCUUCUUUGCAGGAUCGCAGUAUGGAUUUGGCUACUUCAUGAUAACCAUCAUCCUGGAUCCUGUGGUUAGGCAUGUUGUUUCUCUAAGGAACUUGAUGGGUAUAGCACCUUUCAGAAGGAAAUUAACUUUUAGAUGGAAGGGGAAUUGUGACAACCUUUACCUGGAAAAGUUUAAGCCACAGAUGAGCAUUAAAAUUUGCUGUGUUUUCUCUGACCUGAAUCAAUGCCUGAUGUGAAGAUGCUUCUGCUGCAACCAAUGGUGGUCAAAACAAAGAGAAGCCUUAACACAGCAGCCGGAGGAACAUUUCUGCUUUUCCUCAGAGAAAGUCAACAAGUUCCACAUCUACAUUUUUAGCCUUUGAUCCUACAGUGCUUGAAUCCAACUAGCAUGGGUGUCAGGAAAGAUCCUCAUGCUAUUUCUUGUAUUUUUUUCCACAGCCAGCCAUGGCUGAGUGUGGGGUAGUGGCAGAGUCACACCUUUAGAUUGGUCAGCUACUGCAAAUUUUCACCUCAACCAUCAGUUCUGGUGGCUUCACUGGGGAUUUGAUGGAGGAAAUAAGGUCGGGAUGCAGCUCUUUGAGCCCAAUCCUGCAGAAUUUGUUCUGGCAAAAAAAGCUUGUGGGCUUCCUCCUCCUAAUACUCCAUGCAAUGGAAGGAAACAUAUGCUCCGCCAAGUGACCAUGGAAACUGGUGCCUUGGUUUCCAAGGUGAUUUUCUGGCAAGUGGCCGAAGGAGGAAGCGUUAACAAAACAGGAUCCUGGGCAGCAGAAAGCAUCCACAUUCCUGGCGAUGCAGCAGCCUGCACUGAGGAGGACAAAGCCACAGAGACAAACAGAAAACUCCUCAUUUUAAAAUCACCAAAGGUGUCAAACACCUGGCAAAGCAUGGGUAACUUGGUCUGUGGUCCCAGCUUCGUCACAUAUCUAUCUGUUUCCUUUUCUGCUUCUACCUGGGGAAUGAGAUCAGUCUUACCCAACUAAGACCUUAAGGCUCAUAUAAUCUCUCUUUCAAUAGAAAACAAGAAAAGCAAAAUAACCCAAGGAGAGAAAAAAGAAGCUGCUUAAAACUGACUCAUACCUUGAGACAUGGAAGACAUGAAGAAUAGAGAUAUAUCCAUUUCUCUUUAAAGUGCAAUAAAGAUACUUUGCAGAGCAUGUGGGUAAUCCUCCUGGGGUUCCAUACCAGCAUACAGCAAAACCCUUUCUUCACAUUCUUCAGGAGGACCAAAACUCUCCUUGUUUGCCUGUCAGUGUAAUUCCUCCUUGGAGUAAAUUUGAAAUACAGUGAUGUGCAACAUGACAUUACAGAGUGGAAGAAGAGGAAGGACUAGUGACAAGAUCACUUCCUUUUGCAGCAGAGGGGAAGAGGAGUUGAUACAGGAGACACAUGAGCUCCUCCAAGUCCUGUGCAAGCAUUACAGCCUGCCACAGAAUGCUCUCACAUCAUCAAUUGUGGAGUCUACUGAUUUAUACCACUUACAUGACCACAAGCCAGUACAGACAUAACAUUUAACAGUGGAACAACCCAGAAGCAGCAGUGUUACUGAAGAUUAGAUGAAAAUUAAAACCAUCCCUAGCAGAAGGGCAACCCAUCCUGAUAGAAGAAGUCUGAUUGGAAAAUAAAGGAAAGCCUUUUAAGUGUUAAGUGUACAAUUAUACUCAUUCUUCAGCUAUAAGUAAAGCCUUAUGAAGUUUGUUUUCCAGGUUUUCAUUAAUGUCAGAAGGUCCUGUUCUAUCCCUGCAGGAAACAGUUAUUGACAAGUUAUUUUAAGGAUGUUUCAUGGCCACAGGAUAGAACCAAAUUAUCUUUAAAAUGCUGGGAAGAAUUUUGACAUUAAGUCACUUACCUAAUAGUGGAAUUUAUUUCAGAAUUCCUCUUUCUUGCUCUCUCUUCAACUUUUAAUGGAAAAUCUGUGCUUGCAGGUGGUGGGGGAGAUGUACAGCAGCAGCCAUUGAAAGCACUUUGCUUACUACAAAUAGAGAGCUUUACUGAAAGCAUGCAGAAGUAGCACUUGCUUAUCCCACUGGAACUGCAGUUAAAAUGAACAUUGGCUGAAGUGCUGGGUGCAUCAGCCACCACAGUAAGGGGAGAUGAUGACAAUGAGGGCAGAGGGUGUACCCUGCACAGGUAACAGCCAAGACAAGCCCUUCUGACUUUAUCAUUGAUAAACUCCCACAUGCAUAUUUGUCACCAGAUAAGUUCAGGUUUAUCCAGAAAAAAUAUCUAUUCCACUGAUAAUGGAAUGGUAAGUUUGUGACACACAUUGCUGAGUGGGUUCUACAGAGUGGAUCUUUCUCAGUUGCUCGGGGAAGAUUGUCUGAGUAAGCCAGCAUGGAAAUAGAAAGGUUAAAAAAGUAUUUUAUUAAAAAUAAAAUAUCAUAGCUUCUAUUACCAAACGUCUGGAAACAUUCUCUUUUUUUAAUGUGUGUUUUUGUGGCAACUGCAGAAAAAACCUGUAGUAUUACCACAAUAUUAUCGUCACUUCAACUCUUCCAGUAAGUUUUAUCUCCUUAUGUUCAAAAAUUCACAAAUUUUAUCUUUCCAGGACAUACAGCUCUUAUUUCAAAUCAGAAAAACUGUUGAAGACUUUAUUGUAUAUUUUUUGUAGUCUGAACAUUCAGCUAUGGUUGUGUAAUUUCUGUGUUGGCCUAGAUCAAACAUUUUUCCCAAGUAACUGAGAAAGUGACACUGUAAAAAACACUUAGCUACAAGUGUGGCAAAUUAUUUAUCCUUUACUUACCCAACCAGAAUGUACCUGCACUUGGACACAGUAAAGAUGCACAGCAUUAUUCAAAUUACUUUAACCAUUUCAGUGGAGUUUGGGUCAGUUAGUGGGGCUCAGGUCAGGGCUAAAUGCAGCUCUUUGCAUUUUCUCAGAGCACAAAGACAAAACCUGUUGGCUGCCCUACAGGUGUAGGCCACAACUCCCCCAGCAGUCAGACUGGAGAGGUCAGUGCUGCCCAGGUACCACAGCCAGCUCAGAGCAGCUCAGUGCAUCCCCAGAACCUGCAGAGGUCCCAGCCCUGGCUUUGAAAGGCCUGACCAUGUUAGUCACAGCUCAACCUGGACUAACCAACACACGUGGGUGUUUCCUGGGACUCAGAGAUAUCCAGACAGACUUGGGACAUUUAAACAAUUUUUUUUUUGCAAGUAGAGUUAAAAUAUCAUAAAACUAGAACAGCAUACAACCAAGAAAAUGACUGAAUGUUAUUCUUCAUAAUUCACCUUUUGAAAUAACUUCAUUAUCUCCCUGAAGUUUAAAUAUUUUGAACUAUAUGAGUUCAGAUAUUUGUGUUACAAAAAUAACAGUACUUGAACUCUUAGCCUAUUAUUCUAAUACACAUAUUGGACAUGUACAUACCUUUGCUAAGAAUUAAAAGCUUGGUAUUAAACAGGUUAGAAAUAUCAGACAAAAGGUUUCCCAGAUGAUUACCACAUCUACUUACCAUACUAAGGACAGCUAGAGAAAGAAGGCAAAAGGAAUUCACAGGUAGCAGUCAGCAGAAGACUUGGCAGCCCUUACGAGACUUCUGCAUCAAGUAAUUACAUCACUGGUCUGAGAUACAUCAUUUAUAUCCUCUUUUAUGCAUUGUAGCUCAUAUUUCCUUGGUAAUUGUUAUUACCAAUUCACUUCAAUAGAGGGCAAAAGAGACUGAAGUUGUCAUCUCAGACUAGAGGCUGCAUGCAAGAGUGAGAAUUAAGAAAUCUGUGAGGAUUACAUGCAAUUGGAAACAUAACCGAGGUAAAAGAAAAAUACUAGAGCUGUACAGAAAUUGGGUAAUUUAAUUUCCCUUAAUGAUUCACUGCUCUCCCUAUCUGUGAAUCAGACUGAAAUAAACAUAAGAGCUUGAUGAAACAAAAAUAUCUCAAAACUCUUCACAGUCAUUUCUCUCUAGGCUUGAACAGAUUGCAAGCACCAACUUAACAAUACAGGAAAAAUAUAUGGUGCAUUGAACUGGAAGAAGUUUCCUCUACAUUUUCUUUUACUGACUGUUAAUGCAGCAAAUUUGUGAAUUUGGUGCACUUAAGGGAAUUUCUUGUGGGGAAAUACCAUUUUAUUAAGUGCAUAUUAUAUUUAUAUAUGUAUUAUUUCUUUAGUUAGUUUUAAUCUUCUCUCUGAUUUUGUUCUUCCAUUACAGCAGGGGCUUUGCAUUUCAAAUGAUCUCUUUUCUCUUACUGAGUUUCAAAGUUUGAGUAAUGGUGCUAAAGUCCUCUGCUUUCAGACACAAAGGCACAAUAUCCCAGCAGUUAUUAAAAAGUCUAAUGUUUUAUGAAAUGUGAAAUAAUAGACUUUGUUUGGUCCCUAGGAUAAUUAUUUAUUUCAUUCCAACUGAGAAUGCAGAAUAGAAAGACAGCUGUGUUCUCUGCUCUGCAAUGAAUCCCACAGUGAUGAACCACUCCAACUCCUGUAUCCUUAAAGAAAUCCUCACACAGUGAUACUUGUCUCCUGCUCUCUUUCCCAAAUUUCAUGUGCACUAAUACAAUAUUCCAGCGUGGCCCUAAUAUCUUUCAAUAAUUGAUAGCUUUCCCACAAAACUUCCUGCAAGGUUUUUUUUUGGAGCACACCUGACCUACUAGUCCUCAAAUCUUCUGACUGUUUGCUUUCUACAUGCACAUGGACUUUAUUCUGCUAGGCUUAUGGUUUAGGCCAUAUGAAUUUUGUCCCCCAGCAUUUUGCUGAUACCAAGAAAAACACUCAUAUUCAAAAUUAUCUUGAAAAAUGAGAAAGAAAUUAUCAAAUGAGGAAAUACAAAAACAAGGGUAAAAAUGUUCACUUAGGAACAGAAAAUCAACUACAGAAAUACAAAAUGGGAAACUGCCAGACAAAUUGAUCUAAGACUUAUUGCACAAUGCAAUAGAAAUAUGAGUUGACAAGUAUGGAAAGACAAAAAUUAAAAUUGUUGCUGUGGGCAUGUUAGAACGAAAAUCAUGUCCAAAAUGGUAGAGCAAUAGUGUUCACUGUGGUGAGUUCUUACUUGGAAUACAGUACUUGUUGUUGAGCACAGUACAUUAAAAUAAAGGGUGAGGCAAUGAAACAAAGUGUACAGAGGUAUUGACAGGUAGUGGAAAUAUUAAGAGGGCAGAAAUGAAGGAUAAGUGGAUAUAACUGCAUAAGCAUGAUAAAAAUGAACUAUAUUCUAUUAAAAAAUGAACUAUAUUUCUAUUAAAGGAAGGGCAUAGUCCCCAACAGAAAGGGGGACUGUUUCCUGCAUUUACCAUUCCAGUCAAAUGAGACCACAGAUUGCCUGUCAGCAGACGACUCUACCUCUAACAAAAGAAAGUAAUAUCACAUCAGAUCAAAUACACCAUUGCUUUUAUUUCCAGCCCAUCUAUAACACCGACUCUGGCCUUAAGGAACUCAGGCCAGACUUGCCUAAAAUUUAUGGAGGUGGAAAUAAGCAGAAGUACAAUGCAAAAGAAUGAUGUCAUAGUGAUUUUUGGUUCUUGGGUACAAAACAUCAGUCCAAAAAUUAGUUUAUCAUUGCUCAGGGGAGAUGAUGAGGACCUGAUACCUGGCAUCCCUUCACAGAACCACAGAAUGGCUGAGGUUGGAAGUGACCUCUGCAGGUCAUCUUGUCCAUGCCCCUUGCUACAGGAAGACCACCUGUGCUGUGUGCAGGUGACUUUUGAGUAUGCCCAAGGAUGGAGCUCCAUGGCCCCCUGGUCCUCUGUGUUGUACACAAGUGACCCUGCCCAGACCACCUGAACAUUUGCUUCUUGGUUCUUGUAAUUGUGUGGAUGUGAGAGUGUAAAGGAAUGCAAUCAUUGAGAAAAGGACUGUGAGUGGGUAAAGGCAAUGUACUUAAAAGCUUUUGUAAAAUGAUAUCACCUACUCCUACCACAGAUUCUCACACUGCAUUUUUUACACUAACUUGCAACAAGAGAGAAAAGCACCAACAGUGAUUUAUGCUGGAAGGAUGCAAAACCUGGAUUUGUGUAAUCUGGGUGAGAAAAGUUCAGAGGCAAUAAGGUGAUAGCUUUCCACAUGUAAUAUGUCAUUAUCAAGAGAACAACAACCAGCUGCACUCACAGAUGCUGGGAGAAGGACAAGAAGAAAAUUUCAAAAGCUGCAAAAUUCUUUUGGCUGUGCACCAACAGGAGUGAAACUGGGGGCCUCGUGGACUCCCCACCAGACAAUGUGAAGCCUGUGAUGGCAAAUGUUUGUCACCAGUGUCUGGAUAUGUUCAAACCUGCCUUUCUGCUGGGGGCUGGACCAGAGCAGUGACUGACAGCAAGCUUCUGAUGCUCAGUGCCAGAUCCUUUGUCAAAGGCCCUGUGACUCAGAGCUCCUGGUGCCAGCCCAGAUCCACGCCAGCUAAAGACUUGGUGCCUGCGCCAGAAUUUUGUCACUACUGGGCUAAACAAUCUCCUUUACUCUCUUCCUGACCUAUAUUGUUACAGUUGCUAUGAAACCCUUACCCAUGGAAGCAAUUUUUCCACUGGCUCCACGAACUGUCUCUGUUUCUCACCACCAGGAAGUUUUAUUUCUUCAAUAAAAUUGAAUACAGUCAUGUUUGAGCUGGGGUGGGAAUUACUUAGCCCAACUUUUUCAUUUCAGAUGACUUUUGAAAAACUUGGCU
This is a non-coding RNA of Zonotrichia albicollis (white-throated sparrow), 6817 nucleotides long. NCBI's taxonomy places the organism in Eukaryota, Metazoa, Chordata, Aves, Passeriformes, Passerellidae. The record is from RefSeq and is a predicted model, not a curated record.